GACCACGUGGCCUAAUCGAUAAGGCGUCGGAUUUCAGAUCCGAAGAUUACAGGUUAGAGUCCUGUCGUGGUCG
Dryococelus australis is the source of this 73-nucleotide non-coding RNA. The record is from the annotation of a GenBank genome assembly. NCBI's taxonomy places the organism in Eukaryota, Metazoa, Arthropoda, Insecta, Phasmatodea, Phasmatidae.